AACGAACGCUGGCGGCAUGCCUAACACAUGCAAGUCGAACGAGACCUUCGGGUCUAGUGGCGCACGGGUGCGUAACGCGUGGGAACCUGCCCUUAGGUUCGGAAUAACUCCCCGAAAGGGGUGCUAAUACCGGAUAAUGUCUUCGGACCAAAGAUUUAUCGCCUUUGGGUGGGCCCGCGUUGGAUUAGCUAGUUGGUAGGGUAAAAGCCUACCAAGGCGACGAUCCAUAGCUGGUCUGAGAGGAUGAUCAGCCACACUGGGACUGAGACACGGCCCAGACUCCUACGGGAGGCAGAAGUGGGGAAUAUUGGACAAGGGGCGAAAGCCUGAUCCAGCAAUGCCGCGUGAGUGAUGAAGGCCUUAGGGUUGUAAAGCUCUUUUACCCGGGAUGAAAAUGACAGUACCGGGAGAAUAAGCUCCGGCUAACUCCAGG
Molecule: ribosomal RNA, 433 nt
Filed under: uncultured bacterium
Lineage: Bacteria
Description: partial 16S ribosomal RNA
Rfam family: Bacterial small subunit ribosomal RNA
Source: RNAcentral